This 664-nucleotide ribosomal RNA is filed under the name uncultured bacterium. Its description in RNAcentral is "bacterial SSU rRNA". It matches the Rfam family "Bacterial small subunit ribosomal RNA", at positions 110 to 769 of the family's 1533-position model. The record is from RNAcentral.
GGAAUACAUGGGUAACCUGCCCCUGAGAAUGGAAUAACCUGCCGAAAGGUGGGCUAAUACCAUAUACGCUUCCUUAUCUUCGGGUGAGGAAGGAAAGCCGUACCGAGGGUACGGCACUCAAGGAUGGGCUCAUGUCCUAUCAGCUUGUUGGUAGGGUAACGGCCUACCAAGGCAACGACGGGUAGCUGGUCUGAGAGGAUGAUCAGCCACACUGGCACUGAGAUACGGGCCAGACUCCUACGGGAGGCAGCAGUGAGGAAUAUUGCGCAAUGGGCGAAAGCCUGACGCAGCGACGCCGCGUGGGGGAUGAAGGUUUUCGAAUUGUAAACCCCUUUCAGGAGGAAAGAUAAGGUGGAUUACCACCUGGACGGUACCUCCAGAAGAAGCCACGGCUAACUUCGUGCCAGCAGCCGCGGUAAUACGAAGGUGGCGAGCGUUGUUCGGAUUUACUGGGCGUAAAGAGCACGUAGGCGGUUAGGUAAGCCCUUUGGGAAAGCUCCCGGCUUAACCGGGAAAGGUCGAGGGGAACUACCUAGCUAGAGGGCGGGAGAGGAGCGCGGAAUUCCCGGUGUAGCGGUGAAAUGCGUAGAUAUCGGGAAGAAGCCGGUGGCGAAGGCGGCGCUCUGGAACGCACCUGACGCUGAGGUGCGAAAGCGUGGGGAGC